UUGAUUCAUUUUUCUUGUGAGACUCAGAAUAUGCCACUAUUGUUAAACAAGAGUUUGGGUCCUCCGGCGGGCGCCUGGUUCCGGGACGCCGAGGCGCCGGGGCGGUCCCGCCGAAGCAACGUUGGGUAUGUUCACAGGGGUUUGGGAGUUGAUAACUCGGUAAUGAUCCCUCCGCUGGUUCACCAACGGAGA
RNAcentral lists this unclassified non-coding RNA (192 nucleotides) under uncultured fungus. RNAcentral's name for it is "sequence contains ITS1, 5.8S rRNA gene". Lineage: Eukaryota; Fungi. The record is from RNAcentral.